UUAACAAUAAAAAAUAAAUAGAAAAGAGGCAAAAAAAAAGAAACUUACAUGGCCCAUCUCUACCCACGAACGCAACAGAAUCCGUGUGUGCGUCCUUCAAUCCCGCUGCCACGACCUUCCGCUGCCCAUCCAUGGCGCCGUUGGGCUAGCUUCUCCCGCACCCCAGCGCUGCCUAGUCCGCCCUGCCAAUCUCCACCGCGGCGGACUGCCAUAUCCGCCCUGCCAAUCUCCACCGCGGCGGACUGCCAAAUCCGCCCGCUAGGCCGCCGUCGUGCUAGCACCUCUUGCAUCCUCGUGCAAAUCUUCAUCGCAAUGGGAUUUCUCCACGCCGCCACCUUGCCCACUCCUUUGCAAAAGGAUCAUACGAGUUGAAGGCCUCUCGUACCCCAUUGGAUCUAGGCAAGAAGAAGGUGUCAGGGGUGCCACCGUCGGCAACGCUGUACAUGCGUCCGCUUCAGUAAUUUCAGCAACGUCGCCGCUAGCUUCUCCGCCAACACAUAGCCCUAUCAGUGGUAAUCAAUCGAUUCUCUUGUUUAAUUUCAGCAACCACCAUAAAAGUUUGAAAAUGAAGUCAGCCUAGCUAUGGUCGAUUUUUAUGUAUGAAUCUGACACUAAUCGUAUUAUGCAAGAGACACUGGUUAAUAUUUUUGCUGACAUGUUAGGGUGUUAAAUUAGUCUUAAAUUUCAAUCUGGUAUUGCAGAUGAUCACAUAUGUUUACUGUUUCUUGUUCAAUGAUGUCUUAUCAUAUUCGUUUGAACUGAACCAAACAGAACACACAAAAGCACUGAAAUUUUCUCUAUCGUACAUAUUGAUGUUCCAUAGUUUGAGGUGACUAAGCUGGGACUAAAGAAGCUUUAACACUUCAGCCGUCCUACGAUCAUCUAAUAAAUGGUCACGAGAUAAUCUACUUUUUGCUCCCAGGUGUAUGCUUUGUGGCAUAAGCCCAAGCACUUGCAUCUACGCACAUAGAACAACACUGUUCCAUUCUUCCACAAGCAGCUAAACUGUUCUGCUCGUCCUUUCAAUUGUCAGGGUGAUGGUAUGUGUUUGCCUUUUAUUUCUCAAUUCAGCUUUAAAUAUCUUUGAUUUUUUCCUGCAUAGGCAAUACUAAAUGGAGUCUCUUAUAUUAUUUCCUUUUUUUCUUAGUUCUAGAGACACUCAUUAGAUUAGGGAGACAGAAGGAGAAAGGAACAGGGGAAAUGUUCCUUCAGUUCAUCGUCAAUUCUGUUUACUAGUGGGACUUAUUUUCUUGCUACGGAUCCAGACACCACUAUCCAGCCAUAUUAAGGUGCUUUUAUUCCUUGUGUUGAUCAUUUUUAAGCAGUAAUCUGCUGAUGCUUCCAGAAUAUCUAAUCUUGAAAGAACUUUGUGUCUGAAUCAAUCUUUUGUGGAACCAUAAUGUGUUCCUUAGUAUGAUAAUAUUGGUCUCUUUUAUUGAUAUAGAAGUAAGCUGUUUUUUUUGAAUGAUAUAAGUAAGGUGUUUGUAAUGUCCUUUUUAGAUUCUAGAGACCAUGAAUCUAUCUGAUGUACUGGUUAUUAACUUGGCAACGGAAUGCAGUAGCAUAUGUACUAAUCAUUUCCUUUUGUAGUAUUUCAAUCCGUGUGAACUAGGGCCACCAAUAUCUUUUCGCCCGUGGUCCCCUAAUAUCGGUGGACCGGCUUUUGCGAAUGUUAUUUGCCAACUCAAUUGGAAAUCAUGUUGAUGAUUAUAUUUUCACAAAGAAAUCAAACCAGUUUGGUUUUAAAUACAAGAAGCAUUUAAAUAGCAUAUAGAACCAGUUCUUCCAAAAAAGGAGGAAGCAACAACUUAAAAUCCCUUUUCCUGUUUUCUCAGAAUAAAUAGAUAUGCCGUGUAUGCAGACCAGUCCACUAAUUAUUUAUUUUUCAUUGCAAACACCUUUCUAUACAUGCUUUUAAUUUUUCAUUCAAGUGGCUCCACAUUUCCUCCAGGAUAGUGUUGUUUGGAAGGAGUAUAUUUCCGGUAUGGUCACUACAAGAUAUAUGCGAACUUACGACCUUCAAUAUUUGUCAUCGAACGGUCGUUGGUUUCCAUUUGCGACCUUUUUACGACCAAAAACAGAAGGUCAAAAGCUGAGGGUCUCUAAUAAACUAUAACGACCUUUCUGCUGGAAUCGUCGUAGAAUUUUACGACCAAACGAAAGCAUUGAAAUUAUUUUGGUCGUUGGUUGUCUGCCCAAGCCACAUCGAAUCCAACGUGGCAAGCUGACAUGGCAAAAUUUUGACCAACUGAAUUGGUCGUAGAUUAGAAUCAGCCUGGUCCAGUUCGGUCUUUUAGAUGGGCCGAGCCCAUUAAUUCAACCUUUUUAGUAUAUAUGUUUUCUAUUGAUUUUGGUUAGAUACAUGGGCCUCGCCCAACUUUUCAGCCUUUUUUUUGUUUUUGGGGCUGUGGGCUUUUAACAUUGUUUGGGCCAUUAUAUCUGGUCCCACCAAUAAGAUAGGUCCCACUUGUCAUAGUCUCACAUAUUGGGCCCACAUAAUAGAAAUUUCAAAACUGCUCAAAUUAUUUUCAUAACUAGGUCCCAUCAGCCAGGUUCCAAUUCACACGUUUCCAAAUCACAUACAUAAUCACUAUUAUAAACAAAACAGAACAAUUGUAAUUCAGAAAUGUACAAUAUUUCAUUCACAAACAGAGAAGAUACAUGAAAUUCCAGAGUUUACAUCAUGCAGAUAACCCAGCUAUCAAUACAUAACUUUUUAUACAAAAAUAUGUUAUCCCUUCUUUGAAUAUCUUUAGCCUGGCUUCACUUGUAUAAGAGAGAGAGCACUCGUCUUGAAGUUAGGCAAAAUAUCUGCCAACAAGAAAACAGAACAAUGAGGAUAGAGACACAUAAUUACCAUGAAGCAUUGCCACCGAGUAAAUGCUUUCAAGUAACAUGUUAGUUCAAUACUACUAUCCAAAGUAAAAGUAUUCCAAUAGUUUAGUACUAUUCCAAUAGUUCAAUACUGCUAGGAUACAUAAUAGGAGACACAAAAUUACCAAAAUAAAAGUAUUCCAAUAGUUCAGUACUGUUCCAAUAGUUCAAUAAUCUAGGCUAAAUAAUAGGAAAAAAUCAAAGCAACAGUUCUAGACUUGGUGUUAACAAACACAGAAUAUAAAUCAGUAGCAGAUUAAGCACCAAUUCUAUCAUAGAUGCAGGAAGAAGAUUAAGCACCAAUUCUGUCAUAUAAUUAGUAAAAUGCACAUGAAGAUGCAUGAGUAUGACUGAAAAAUAAAGAUGAAACUGUUGCGCAUCACCGGUAGUAUGGAAGCAGGGAAAUAGUGCACUGAACAACAAACAGUGGUACUUUUUUACACAGUAAUCACAUCUAUAUCAUACAGAUACUUUUUAUAAAUAAACAUAUUUCUUCAUCGGCCUAGAACUAGCACAAAUCAACUUGGCCCUCGACCAAGAUACUUCUCAAAAUGGGAACAUCUGAUUCUCCAAACUGGGACGGACCUUGAAUCUGUAUUAGACGACCAUAGCAUAUUGUAAUUAUGUUGUUCCUAACUGAUGAUGUUACCAUAAGAGCUAAGAUAGAAGAAACUACAUAAAACACUGCAGCAUUCCAUCACGAGUGUAGUGCUCGAACAACAUAGUUGCUGGAGUAGUUCACAAGGAUACCAGACCAGAUCAGAUCAGGGAUCGGACUCACCGUGCGCACUCCUCCACCUUGUCGUUGUUCUGGUUGUCGAGGAUGGCCAGUAUCAGGUUCCUGUUCUCGUCCAGGUAUUGCACACACAGUUCCAACAAGCUUAGUUUGAACAAGUGCAACCUCUCCUUGGCUCCAUCCAGGGCGUGUAGGUGCAAUGUUUUCUUAGGGUCGGCUGAAAGAAGGAACCGUUAAGCAAUGUUAGCACCCACUGCACAUUCAUAAAAAGAAAGCAUGGGAAAACAUUCCAACGGCCAAAAUAUGUUGAUUUUGAACUCCAACAAUCUAAAAGAUUUAUACUAAAAAAAAGGACUGAUGCAGGAACACACUAGCAACAGUAUUACGGGAAGUCUGUUCUGUAGUUUUAAAUUCACAAGUGAGAAAGGCUGCCCCUUGACUCUUCUGGACAUAGAUUUCUGAGCCCUGUUAUUGUUAUUGUUAUUGUCAAGCACUGUACUUGACCUUGCUCUGUUAUUGUCAAGUCAGAAAGGCUGCCCCUUAACAAAUUUAUGAGCCCUGUUAAGGUAAAGUGCGAGCUGGACAAGAAGACUCUUAUUCACAAGACUGUUAUUGUUAUUGUCAAGCACUGCUGCAGAUAGAUAACAAAUUUUAGUAAUUGAGCCAAUGGUUCUUAAAGGCGAGAUGAAAAAUCUAAACCUGUCGAGCAGUAUUGAACAAGAUAAACUAAUAAACAUAACACGGAUGAUGCUAUUAAAUUCAAAACCAAAUUCAUCAUAGAUCAAAAUGGGAUUUCUAAAGUGCAUUAUGCUGCAAACACCUAUUUUGUUUUUUGUAGUGUAUUGUGAAAAAUCUAAACCUGUCGAGCAGUAUUGAAUGUGUUGCCAUAGAUAUUUUGAAGUUUCUCCCUAGCAGGGACACUAUACGGAAUGACUUGGAAGGUGAAAUAUCCUGCUUUUUUUAUAGAAAAAUACAAAUAUUUCUUUUUUAUAGUGAAGCCAACACUGAUCAGCAAGAACUACACUAGACACGCACGACAGUAACAAGUUACAAACACUAUGAUGCUGUUGUUGGUUCUAUUUUCUACUGCAAUCAAUUGCAUCAAAGCUGGGCAAGUGGAUUGAGUAAUUCAGCGGUCUGCAGUCUGUACAAAAUCAGAAGGCACAGACACCACAUAAAUUUCUUAGUUGGCAUGCUUGACCAGAAAUCUAAAGGCAGUGACCAUGCAUAAUUGUUCCGACAAAUCCCACACAACCCUGAGGUCAGUAGCCACUAGUUCACUACCAAACACAGGGUCAUCAUAGAAGUGCACGUGCGGCGCGGAGGAAGAUUACGACACGCUGUUUAGCAGAGAGGCAGAGCGGUGUACCAUCCAUCACGACAUGGCUGGACUUUAGGGGAAGGGCGGCAACCGCAACACGGCCUGCUCCAUAUCCACGGGGUCAGACCACGAGAUCUGCACACCACCGGAGCAGCAGCUAGUCAGAACGAUCCGGCGGUAAAUCUGUGCAUGCGUGCGUGGCGGAGGACAGGCGGGCGGUAAAUCUGUGCGUGCAUGUUCUUGGAAAAGUGCUAUCAUUUAUGAAGAUUCAUGGCUUUCAAGCCAAAUGAUCAAUCUUAUGGCCACAUUCAUGACAUAGUUUCUUGAAAAUGAUAUAAUAUUAUGCACAAGGGUGCAUAUUGGAAUGACAAACAAUGUUGAUUAAGGAAUUUUUAUUUUCCUUAUGUGUAAAAUUCAUUUUCCAUUUUUCAAGUGUCCAAAAUGAAUUUUUUUGUGAAGGACCUACCAUAUAUUUGUUUCAAAAUUGUACCAAAUCAAUUUUUCUAAAAUACUAGGCCAUAUUUAAUGUACAAUUGACCAAAUGGUUGGGUGUUAAAGGCUUUUAUCGACCUCCCGUGAAAAAGACAAAUUUUAGUUGAAUCAAUUGGAAGCGGGUCAAAUUUGAACUGCAGCUAUAUUAUAGUUUGCGCUUUAUUUUUUCCAAAAAUCAUUUCUAGGUACACAAGUAUCUAUUUAGUUAAAAAAACACCAAAAUGUUUCCAAGAUUCAACCACUAGGUAGGAACGGUCAUGCCUGCUGUUUUGACCGCAUUUUGAAAUGGCCAUGAAAAAUCAAAAACAAAUUCAAAAAAAUGGAAAACCUUUGCAUUGUUUAAUUAUAUGUGACAAAGUUACCAGGAAAAACAAUAAACUUCUAAUUCGACAAUUAUUUUAAAAAAGUGUUCUUCGAAAUUGGCUAUCAUGUGUCAAGAUUCAUGACUUUCAAGCCAAAUGAUCAAUCUUAUGUUCACAUUCAUGACAUAGCUUGUUGAAAUAAUAAAAUAUUAUGCACAAGGGUGCAUAUUGGAAUGGCAAACAAUGUUGAUUAAGGAAGUUUUCAUUUUCCUUUUUUGUAAAAAUCAUUUUCCAUUUUUCAAGUGCCCAAAAUGAAUUUUUUGUGAAGGACCUACCAAAUCAUUUUUCUAAAAUACUAGGCCAUAUUUAAUGUACAAUUGACCAAAUGGUUGGGUGUUAAAGUAUUUAUCGACCUCUCGUGAAAAAGACAAAUUUUAGUUGAAUCAGUUGGAAGCGGGUCAAAUUUGAAUUGCAGCUACAUUUUAGUUUGCUCUUUAUUUUUGCCAAAAAUCAUUUCUAGGUACACAAGUAUCUAUUUAAUCAGAGAAACACCAAAAGGUUUCCAAGAUUCAACCACUAGGUAGGAAUGGUCAUGCCCGCUGUUUUGACCGCAUUUUGAAAUGGUCAUGAAAAAAUUAAAAACAAAAUUCAAAAAAAUGGAAAACCUUUGCAUUGUGUCAUUAUAUGUGACAAAGUUACCAUGAAAAAAAUCAAAAAAAUGGAAAACCACUUGUAUUACGACAAUCAUUUUUAAAAAGUGUUCUUAGAAAUGGGCUAUCAUGUGUGAAGAUUAAUGACUUUCAAGCCAAAUGAUCAAUCUCAUGGCCACAUUCAUGACAUAGUUUGUUGAAAUAAUAAAAUAUUAUGCACAAGGGUGCAUAUUGGAAUGGCAAACAAUGUUGAUUAAGGAAGUUUUCAUUUUCCUUGUAUGUAAAAAUCAUUUUACUUUUUUCAAGUGCCCAAAAUGAUUUUGUUUUGUGAAGGACCUACCAUAUAUUUGUUUCGAAAUUGGACCAAAUCAUUUUUAUAAAAUACUAGACCAUAUUUAAUGUAAAAUUGACAAAAUGGUUGGGUGUUAAAAGAUUUUAUACACCUCUCGUGAAAAAGACAAAUUUAUGUCAAAUCAGGUGGAAACGGGUUAAAUUUGAACUACAGCUGCAUUAUAAUUUGCUCUUUAUUUUUUCUAAAAAUCAUUUAUAGGUACAUAAGUAUCUAUCGAAAUAGAAAUACAUGGUGUGGUGGCUUGACGUCGAGGUUUGGAUGGUGGUCGAGGGCCCCAACUCCAGAGCGCGUGAACUUGAAUGCCAGCCGCAUGGUCACCGCCUGACCGUUGCGUUGCCACGCGUUCUGGGUGGAAUAGGCAUGUCUGGUGGGUUGGAGAGUCCCUUGGUAGGUUCUAGGAAAAAAGAAUACAAUAGAAGAAUCUAACGAGGAGACCGAAUUAAGCUCAGACAUGAAUUAGUAGCCAAGUAUUUGAUUAGCGGUGUGGGUAAUGCACAUAGACAUUGGGCCUAAAUUUUGGUUGAGGAUGAUGCACUAGUAGAAAACAAGGCUACCGUUCGGCCCUGGCCAGCCCAUUAGUCCCGGUUCUUCAAGAACCGGGACCAAUGGGGGUAUUAGACCCGGUUCGUGAGCCCAGGGGGCCGGCCUGGGCCUCGUGGCCAUUGGUCCCGGUUCGUGUGGAACCAUUUGUCCCGGUUCGAGCCACGAACCGGGACCAAUGGUCCUCGCUACUGGCCCACAACCUUUAGUCGCGGUUCAUGCCACGAACCGGGACAAAUAACUUGCCUACAUAUAUACCCACCGCCGCGGUAGAACACUCCACAGUGCUCUGUUUUUGUCGAGCCGGCAAGGGGAGGGCAUUUGGGUGCUCUAGUUCACCUCCUAUGCACAUGAGGUGUUCGAUGAAAUGCCCGAGCCACACUAGUUAAGCUUUCUCCUCUCGCAACUCGACCUCCGAGCUCCAUUUUCAAUGAGACUUGUCUAGAUUUAGCAGUCCGUCACGCCCCGUCCCCGCCCCGUCUUCACCGCCGUCGAUCGCCCGCGCCGAUCUCGUCACCGGCACCACCGUGGUGAGCCUCUUGUUCUUAUCUUUUUUCUGAAAGAAAAACAUUCUGACUUCAGAUAGAUACUUGUCUAAUUUUCUUACUUUUAUUAUUCCUUGUUAUUAUAUAGUGCGAUGGUUUUGGUAUCCGCCCCUGUCGGCCCUCGUCCUGUCUAUGAUUCAGAUGUGGUAUAUAUUAUCUUUCGAUAACUAUUUGGUUCAUUUAUUGUUUAUGACAAUUAUGAUGACCAACGUGACAUAUAUUUUUAAUCUAGGAGGUAUGUGAACCGGAAAUUCCAACCCACCUAGAAAUGCUUCUCAAGAAGUUAACUUUGGUUGAAAAAGAAAACAAAUACUUGAAGAAAAAAUUGAAAAUAAUUGAGGAUAAGAAUAUGGAAAUGGAGUUGCAUGUUGCCGAGGUCAUUGACGAUCACAAGAUGAAGAUCAAUGCGAUGCGGUUGAAGAUGGAUGCAAUGCGCUUGAAGAUGGAUGAAAUGCGCUUGAAGAUUAGGAAUAUUAGAGAGCAAGCACGGAGAUAAGAGAGGACACUUCUCUCUAUUCAUUAGCUAGCUAACACAAUAUAUGAAACACCUAAAUUAACCCCCCAAAACCCCCCCUUCAAAAAAAACCAUCACCUGAAAUGCUGACGCGUGGAUGCCUUUUGGUCCCGAUUGGUGUCACCAACCGGGACUAAAGGCCCCCCUGCCCGGGCUCGCCGCACUGGCCACGUGGAGGUCCAUCUGUCUCGUUCCGUGUAAGAACCGGGACUAAAGGCCAAGGGCAUUAGUAACGACCUUUUAGUCCCGGUUCCGAAACCGGGACAGAAGGCCCUUACGAACCGGGACAAAAGGCCCUUUUUCUACUAGUGAUGAUCUAGUAAGGAGACGGUCUUGGUAAAUUUUUAGCUCAAAUGGAUGAACCUAGGUGGCACUUGCUUUGCAAAGUAAAACAGUGUGCAAAAAUAUGGAUGUUGAAGCUGGUAUCAAAUUAAUGAAUGGACUGAGCUUAAAUUUGGUGUAUGAUGUUAAUUUGGGCAUAUGAAGGCACUGUAAAAAAAUUAUACCAUUUGGACAUGCCAAAGUGACACUUCCUUCACACUGUGCCAAUCUGGAUAGAAAAUGGUAAUUGAAACUGGGCUUACAUAGAUGAUUGGAUUGAGCUAAAAUUUGGAGGAGGAUGAUAAUUUGGGCACAUUAAGGCACUGUAAAAAUUUCAUAAAAUUUGGAUAAACAAAAAUUGUACUUCCUUCACAAUGCUCUCUACUGAACAGAAUAUUGGGAAAAAUAUUGAGGGAAACUGACUGAAUUAAAUGAGCUAAAACUUAGUGGAGUGAGGUUAUAUGGUCAGUUUUAUUACGUGGUAAAUUUUCAUCAACUAUAAAGCAAUAUAAAAUGUAGUUGCUUCACAAACUGAAAAUAUUACUAGAAACAAAUAUUGGAUGAUGAGCUCACAUGGAUUGUUAUAUGGGUCUAAAAUUUUGUGGAGAGCUAUGUUUUGGGCACAUAGAAGAUGUGGAAAAAAUUCAACUCAUUAGGAUAUUCCUAUCUAGUACUUCCUUCACAAAGCUGUUAGCUGAACACAAACUUUGGAAAUUUGUUGAGAAAUAUUUACUAGGAAAAUGGUUAUGAAAGUUUUCAUGAGGCAAUGAUUUGGAUAGGAAAGAGUGCUCAAAAAAUUUGAGGGUAAUCAAAGAAACAGAAAUAGCACUUCCUUCACAGAGUGCUAUUCUGAACAGAAUAGGAAAAUGAAUAUUUCUGAAUUAUUUUCAAACUAUGGAAGGAAGGUUUUCACAUAUUUGAGGAAUACAUGAUCCAAAGUAUUUAUGAAAUUACUUCAAGAAUUUUUGGAAUGACAGAAUAAUAGGUUGCUUCACAAACUAGCCAAAAGUUCACACAUGGACAUGACACAUAGGCAAAACUGAUUGGAAGGACGUGGAUGUCGCCUAGAGGGGGGGGGUGAAUAGGCGCUUUAAAAUAAUUAAGGUUUAGGCUUGAAUAAAUGCGGAAUAAAACUAACGUUUAAUUUGUCAAGCACAAAACCUACAAAUAACUAGGCUCACCUAUGUGCACCAACAACUUAUGCUAAGCAAGAUAAACAACUAAGUGAUAGCAAGAUAUAUUACAAUAAACAAUAUGUCUAUCACAAAGUAAAGUGCAUAAGUAAAGGGUUCGGGUAAGAGAUAACCGAGGCACGAGGAGACGAUGAGGUAUCCCGAAGUUCACACCCUUGCGGAUGCUAAUCUCCGUUGGAGCGGUGUGGAGGCACAAUGCUCCCCAAGAUGCCACUAAGGCCACCGUAAUCUCCUCACGCCCUCGCACAAUGCAAGAUGCCGUGGUUCCACUAAGGGACCCUUGAGGGCGGUCACCGAACCCGUACAAAUGGCAACCCUUGGGGGCGGUCACCGAACCCGUACACGUGGCAACCCUUGGGGGCGGUUACCGGUACCCGUACAAAUUGCUUGGGGCAAUCUCCACAACCUAAUUGGAGACCCCGACGCUUGCCCGGAGCUUUACACCACAAUGCUUGAGCUCCAAGACACCACCAAGCUUCUAGGACGCCAAAGCAUCCACGAAGAACAAUAUCUAUGGUACUAAGUACCAAAGGUAAUAAGCUUCUCAAACUUCACUUCCAUGUAUCACCGUGGAGAACUCAAACCGAUGCAACCAAUGCAAUGGCAAGAACACACGAAGUGGUCAAGUCCCUCAUACUCAAAUCCCUCCACAACAACGAAAGCUAUGGAGAAAUAUGAGAGGAAGAACAAGGAGCUCACAAAGAACUCCAAGAUCUAGAUCCAAGGGGUUCCCCUCACAUAGAGGAGAAAGUGAUUGGUGGAGAUGUGGAUCUAGAUCUCCUCUCUCUUUUCCCUCAAGAACAAGCAAGAAUCAUUGGAGGGAUUGAGAGUAAGCAAGCUCUAAGAAUGUCAACAAUGGAGGUAGAACAAGAGCUCAACGGAUGGAUAAGACCAAGGGGGAAGAAGACCCCCUUUAUAUAGUGGGGGAAGGAAUCAGACCGUUACCCCCACUUACAGCCCGAGCCCAGCGGUACUACCGCUGGCUCUAGCGGUACUACCGCUGACCCUCCAGCGGUACUACCGCUGGCUGCAGCGGUACUACCGCUGACCCUCCAGCGGUACUACUGCUGGCUGCAGUGGUACCACCGCUGAGCCCAUGGUAGCGCAAAGAUACUACCGAGCCAACCACCGCCAAGAAAGUCUUCACAAAAAUGUCUGACACAGUACAACCGCAAAGAUGACGGUACUAAAAGCUUGGAGCGGUACUACCGCUUACCAGGGGCGGUACUACCACUGGGACAGCGGUACUACCGCCAGCUCUAGCGGUACUACCGCUAGGGCCAGCGGUACUACCGCCAACUCUAGCGGUACUACCGCUCGCCACUGAAACAGCCAUAACUUUCGCAUACGAGCUCCGAAUCGAGCAAACCCAAGCUUGUUGGAUUCAGGACGACAAGAGCUAUCCAAACAGCAAAUGCCAAUGAUAUAGAGAUGUGAGUCCUCUAUGAAUGAAGAACCGGCAAAAACUCCAACAUCGAAAACAUCAUAAUAGAUGCAUAUGGACUCCAUUUUCGAUAAACUUGAGCUUGUCAUGAAGAUGACCAUAAGCUCUAAAACUCACAAAGAGAAACACCAAACAAGAACCAAGAAGUAUGAUGCAAGGAUGCAAAUGGUUUGAGCUCUCAACGAACGAUACGAUCAAGCUACUCACCUAAGAGCCCCUUUGAUAGUACAGCAAUCUAUCCUAACCAGGAAACCUAUCAAGGGCAAACCUAUACCUUGCACCUCGUCCUCUUGAGCUAGAUGAUGAUGAUCUUGGCUUCCUCAAGAUGGACCACCUUUCUUGAUUGCGUUGGCUUGAUGAAGACCAGUUGCUUGCUCCCCCAUACUUACUAUGGGUGAGCCACUCUUCAACAUAUCUUCACAAGUCCAUUGCCACCACAAUGGAUGGCAAGCUUCAAGCAUGAUAUCUUCGUGUUGAUCCACUUGAACUUGCACACCACAAUCUUGAUGACGAUCACCACUUGACGUCAUCCUUCAUGGGUUGUAUGAGAUCUUCCUUUUGACGCAAGCCCAUGUAAACACACCUAACCCACACAUAGAACUGUCAUGAAGACCAUGGGUUAGUACACAAACACGUAAUGGACAAUGCUUACCAUACCAUGGGAUUACUUGAUCCCUCUCGGUACAUCUUGUACGCUUUGUGUGUUGAUCAUCUUGAUUUACUCUUUGUCUGAGAUCUUGAUCAACCUUGUGUCUCUAUGACCAUUCUUUGGAUAAUACCUUGAAUACCAUCUUGGUCAUCAUAUAAACUCCUUGAACCCAACAGAUGGACUUCAAGAAGUGCCUAUGGACAAAUCCUAUAAAUAUAACUUUAGGAACCAUUAGUCCAUAGGAAUUGUCAUCAAUUACCAAAAUCACAUAUGGAGAUAUAUGUUCUAACACUGAUGAUGUGGCAACUAGUCGUAGAUAUGGCCAUCUAUAUUGGUCGUAAUUAGCUACAAAUUAGGCAUCGGAACAGGGCUAUUCGCUUUACGACCAUUUCCAGUAAGGAAGUUACGACCUUUUUGAUGAAAAUGGUUGUUAGUUUUUGGGGUUAGGACCCCUCCGGAUAUCUUACGACCAAUUGGUCUCAAAUGGUCAUAGAUUUACGACCAAUUCUACGAGUGUCACUGACAGAAGGUCGUUAGUUGACAUAUUUCUUGUAGUGGGUGAUAACCUUAGAUAUAAUAAUACCGACUGUGAUCAUUGGGCUUAUUUUACCUUCUGAUGUAUCUUCAUUUUUGUAUACGGUGCUUUCCCGAGAUGCUCACAAGAUUAGCAAUAGCAUGAUGCAUGAUACAAAGGAGGGAAAUUAACACAAUUGUUUAUUAGACCCUAUUAUAUGGGUUUUAUGCUCAGUUUUGAUACUUCGAUGGUCCAACAAUCUUAGUACUUUUGCAGAAGGAAAGAAGUCCCUACAGCUGUUCAAAAGAAAAACUAUUUCUAGAUAAUUGAAGGCCUUGCAUUUAUUAUAUCAAUCAUGUGUCCUGUUUUGGUUUUUUUCAUGUGGUGUGUGUUUCCUAUCGAUAUAGCCGGAGUUGGGAUUGGGGGGGGGGGAGAUGGCAGCGUAUGUGUAAUUGUAUUGACUGAGUGGCGCCUUUGCAUACUAGUUCAAACCUACCAAUGCCACAUUUCUUUUGAAGUUUUUAAUUGGAAGGUUAAUGAAAGAUGGUAGGAUCCAGUCAUUCAAUUGCAAUACCUAUUUAUCCAUGCUUUUCUUGCAAGAAUAUUGGAACCAUCUCUGAUCUCUUAAAUAACACAUGUAAAUUUAUAAAUUGAAAUAUUUUUUUUCGUUUCAGUACUUGGGCAUAUCGAAGGCGAUGGAUCGAGGUUGGAUGAGUCAACCA
This 13169-nucleotide long non-coding RNA is filed under the name Hordeum vulgare. RNAcentral's name for it is "long non-coding RNA (HVUL_LNC016461)". Lineage: Eukaryota; Viridiplantae; Streptophyta; Magnoliopsida; Poales; Poaceae. The record is from RNAcentral.